Heterocephalus glaber (naked mole-rat) is the source of this 406-nucleotide long non-coding RNA. RefSeq lists it as uncharacterized. The record is from RefSeq and is a predicted model, not a curated record. NCBI's taxonomy places the organism in Eukaryota, Metazoa, Chordata, Mammalia, Rodentia, Bathyergidae.
CUUGAGAUGCUGCAGUGAAAAUCUUAGUAAAGUGGAAAAAGGCAGAAAUAGUUCAUUUGUUGUAUAGCAAAAUUGCAAUUCAAAAUAAUUUCCAUGGCUUUCAAUGAUGGACUAAAAUCAACAAAAGAACCUCUAGCAAAAAAAUUGAAAAGUAAACUCCCAAAGAUUUAAAGCCCAAGACCCCCAACUCAGCCUGUGAAGACCUGAGACAGGAAGCCAGGACCAGUUCUACUUUGCAUGUCAGAGCCAACAGCCUCUCUUGGUCUCUCUUGGUCUUUUUAUUCUGAUGUGCAGAAGAAGGAAGUUCUUCUAAACCAUAGAAGAAUUUGGAUGCUUUAGAGACUUCCAGAGAAAGGUGUUUGAAGAAAUCAGAAGAGUUCUUAGGAGACAGGCAGUAGAAAAAGAG